RNAcentral lists this ribosomal RNA (492 nucleotides) under uncultured bacterium. RNAcentral's name for it is "partial 16S ribosomal RNA". It matches the Rfam family "Bacterial small subunit ribosomal RNA", at positions 28 to 507 of the family's 1533-position model. The record is from RNAcentral.
GAUGAACGCUCGCUAUAGGCUUAACACAUGCAAGUCGAGGGGAAACGGCAUUAUGUGCUUGCACAUUUUGGACGUCGACCGGCGCACGGGUGAGUAUCGCGUAUCCAACCUGCCCUUUACUUGGGGAUACCCCGUUGAAAGACGGCCUAAUACCCGAUGUAAUUCAUUGAUGGCAUCAGAUAUGAAUAAAAGAUUUAUCGGUAAAGGAUGGGGAUGCGUCUGAUUAGCUUGUUGGUGAGGUAACGGCUCACCGAGGCGACGAUCAGUAGGGGUUCUGAGAGGAAGGUCCCCCACAUUGGAACUGAGACACGGUCCAAACUCCUACGGGAGGCAGCAGUGAGGAAUAUUGGUCAAUGGGCGCAAGCCUGAACCAGCCAAGUAGCGUGCAGGAAGACGGCCCUAUGGGUUGUAAACUGCUUUUAUACGAGAAUAAUUUGAUGCACGUGUGCGUUAUUGCAUGUAUCGUAUGAAUAAGGACCGGCUAAUUCCGUG